GGGUAUUUUGGGGGGUGUGUUGGUCGGGCGGCAGCCGGGGGGCCCGGCCCCGCCGAGCACGUGGACGGCACCAACGAAACCGAACACAAGCGAGCGGCGGAACGGGUUGAGUCACACGCGGGUCACCCGCCCAAGAGAACCGGGAUAACACCUCGGAAACAGACGCUAAUACCGGAUAACAACACUAGACGCACGUCUAGAGUUUCGAAAGAAGGUUCCUGCUAUCACUCUUGGAUGGACCUGCGGUGCAUUAGCUAGUUGGUAAGGUAACGGCUUACCAAGGCAAUGAUGCAUAGCCGAGUUGAGAGACUGAUCGGCCACAUUGGGACUGAGACACGGACCAAACUCCUACGGGAGGCAGCAGUAGGGAAUCUUCCACAAUGGACGAAAGUCUGAUGGAGCAACGCCGCGUGAGUGAAGAAGGGUUUCGGCUCGUAAAGCUCUGUUGGUAGUGAAGAAAGAUAGAGGUAGUAACUGGCCUUUAUUUGACGGUAAUUACUUAGAAAGUCACGGCUAACUACGUGCCAGCAGCCGCGGUAAUACGUAGGUGGCAAGCGUUGUCCGGAUUUAUUGGGCGUAAAGCGAGUGCAGGCCGUUCAAUAACUCUGAUGUGAAAGCCUUCGUCUCAACCGGAAAAUUGCAUCAAAAACUGUUGAACUUGAGUGCAAAAAAGGAAAAUGAAACUCCAUGUUUACCGUUGGAAUGCCUAAAUAUAUGCAAGAACCCCGUGGCGAAAGCGGCUCUUUGUUC
RNAcentral lists this ribosomal RNA (750 nucleotides) under uncultured bacterium. Its description in RNAcentral is "bacterial SSU rRNA". It matches the Rfam family "Bacterial small subunit ribosomal RNA", at positions 1 to 734 of the family's 1533-position model. The record is from RNAcentral.